GACGAACGCUGGCGGCGUGCUUAACACAUGCAAGUCGAACGGAAAGGCCCUGCUUUUGUGGGGUUCUCGAGUGGCGAACGGGUGAGUAACACGUGAGUAACCUGUCCUUGACUUUGUGAUAACUUCAGGAAACUGGGGCUCAUAUCGGAGAGGAGCUCCUGCUGCAUGUUGGUGGUUGGAAAGUUUCGGCGUUUGGGGAUGGACUCGCGGCUUAUGGGCUUGUUGGUGGGGUAGUGGCUUACCAAGGCUUUGACGGGUAGCCGGCCUGAGAGGGUGACCGGCGACAAUGGGACUGAGGUACGGACCAGACUCCUACGGGAGGCAGCAGGGGGGAACAUUGCACAACGGGCCGAAGCGUGAUGCAGAAACGCCGCGUGCGGGAUGCCCGCCUACGGGUGAUAAACCGCUUUCGCCUGUGACGAAGCGUGAGUGACGGUAAUGGGUAAAGAAGCACCGGCUAACUACGUG
Molecule: ribosomal RNA, 468 nt
Filed under: uncultured bacterium
Lineage: Bacteria
Description: partial 16S ribosomal RNA
Rfam family: Bacterial small subunit ribosomal RNA
Source: RNAcentral